Molecule: ribosomal RNA, 254 nt
Filed under: uncultured bacterium
Lineage: Bacteria
Description: partial 16S ribosomal RNA
Rfam family: Bacterial small subunit ribosomal RNA
Source: RNAcentral
UACGUAGGGACCAAGCGUUGUUCGGAUUUACUGGGCGUAAAGGGCGCGUAGGCGGCAAUUCAAGUCAGCUGUGAAAUCUCCGGGCUUAACUCGGAACGGUCAGCUGAUACUGCUUUGCUAGAGUGCGGAAGGGGCAAUCGGAAUUCUCGGUGUAGCGGUGAAAUGCGUAGAUAUCGAGAGGAACACCUGAGGUGAAGACGGGUUGCUGGGCCGACACUGACGCUGAGGCGCGGAAAGCCAGGGUAGCAAACGGG